UGAAACUCUACCCCAUGUUAGCUCUCAUG
Molecule: non-coding RNA, 29 nt
Filed under: Mus musculus (house mouse)
Lineage: Eukaryota; Metazoa; Chordata; Mammalia; Rodentia; Muridae
Source: RNAcentral